UUGACGGGGAGCACCACAACGGGUGGAGCUUGCGGUUUAAUUGGAUUCAACGCCGGAAAUCUUACCGGGACCGACAGCAAUAUGAAGGCCAGGCUGAAGACUUUGCCGGAUUAGCUGAGAGGUGGUGCAUGGCCGUCGUCAGUUCGUACUGUGAAGCAUCCUGUUAAGUCAGGCAACGAGCGAGACCCACGCCCACAGUUGCCAGCGUACUCUCUGGAGUGACGGGUACACUGUGGGGACCGCCGCUGUUAAAGCGGAGGAAGGAAUGGGCAACGGUAGGUCAGUAUGCCCCGAAUAUCCCGGGCUACACGCGAGCUACAAUGGUUGGUACAAUGGGUAUCUACCCCGAAAGGGGACGGGAAUCUCCUAAAACCAAUCUUAGUUCGGAUUGAGGGCUGCAACUCGCCCUCAUGAAGCUGGAAUCCGUAGUAAUCGCGUUUCAACAGAACGCGGUGAAUACGUCCCUGCUCCUU
This 473-nucleotide ribosomal RNA is filed under the name uncultured Methanosaeta sp. RNAcentral's name for it is "bacterial SSU rRNA". It matches the Rfam family "Archaeal small subunit ribosomal RNA", at positions 871 to 1337 of the family's 1478-position model. Lineage: Archaea; Methanobacteriati; Methanobacteriota; Methanomicrobia; Methanotrichales; Methanotrichaceae. The record is from RNAcentral.